UAUCCACAAUGCAGGGGCUGGGUAUAAAGGCCCUCACCCCAGUUUGGGAUAAGUGUGAAGGGCCAUCCCAGCUUCAUAGUUCCCUGUAGAGUUAGUUGAAGACUUUGUUGAGAUUGCAAUUCAGCCUAACUUCUACCUCUGCCCAAUCAUGCUUCUUUCCACCCCUUCCCUCCUCUUCUUUUCCCUCCCAGAAGUAUUGGUCCCAGCUGCACUGUAAUCUCAGAGUCUGCUUCCCUGGGAACCUAAUCUUCAAAGUCAGAGUAGGGAAGAUAAUGACCGCAGAGUGGAGAAACCUCGUAGACACCACUUUUCUCAGGGGAUCAAGAUUAACAUUGCAGGGUCAUUCAAGGGUCACAAGGAUUUAUGAGCUUGUUUCACCGAAGAAAAAGAAUGACUUCAAGGAAGUUAGGAUCACCAGAUAACCAGGCUCUAGCCGCCAGUGAACUCAUAAGUCAGAUUGCCCAAGGGCUUAUAUGGAGUGAAAGAAACAUGGAUUACCACCUUUGUUUCUCUGAAACUCCUCCUGCCAAGCCCCUUAGAUCUAUAAAAACCCCUGCUUUCUUCUCUUCUUAAGGCAGAUUUGAGGGAACCUAUCCUCCUGCCUUCUCAUUUUGGCCAAUUUGAAUAAAGCUUUCUCC
Molecule: long non-coding RNA, 638 nt
Filed under: Equus caballus (horse)
Lineage: Eukaryota; Metazoa; Chordata; Mammalia; Perissodactyla; Equidae
Description: lncRNA (ENSECAG00000056597.1)
Source: RNAcentral